CUGAGAUACCUUCAUCUGAUCGAUUUUUGAAGGCAGCAUAGAUGUAACUUCGCUGCCUAUAAUAUCCCACAAUCCUGUGCGUUCCAUUCGGUGAGAGUUGAGCUAGAAGAAGAAAGAUGGCAUCUGAAAGUUGCGGUUUCAGUUUUCCAUCUAGUGUAUCUCUCUGAGGGGCUCCGGAGUGACGAGGAGACCGACAGCAUCGCGUGAUUGGCAGGUGACGUGAUUGACGUCCACAAGGUGGCACGGGGAAGACGAGUCAAGUGGCAGGUGUGCAGGAACACCAGCAUGGCUGUGGAGAGCUUCUCUGAGCUCCUGCAGAAACUGCGGGAGGUCCAUGAGCAUGAGUUAGAGGUGUGGCAGGAGAAAGUACUGGAGCUGACAAAUAAAAAGAAUAUCGAUACAAAGCGCAUGGAAGAACUUUACAACAGGAACCAGCAGAUGAGAGAACAGCAGCGGAUCCUCACUGAGAACAUUAAACAGCUGGAGAACAGGUUGCGGGCUGGGUUGUGCGACAGGUGUACAGUCACUCAGGAUGUGGCUAAAAAAAGACAACAGGAGUAUGAAAACUCCCAGCUCCAAAGUCUACAGCACAUCUCUUUACUGGUGAGUGAGAUGAAUGCACUAAAGAAAGAAAAUGACAGACUGAGAGAGGAGCUGAAAGGCUUGAGGGAUUCGUCGAAUCGGCAGAAUGGUCAUUUAGAGGACACGAUCAUCACAGAGGUCAAGAUGUCACCUGACACAGCAGCGGCUGCUGUGACUCUACUGACCUCAGGGCAGAAGUCCAGCCAACCUCCACCAGGGGACGCCACUGUACCUGCAGCGACUGUCAAACGAGAGACAGACAACAGCCCAACUGACAGUCUGGAAAAAGCAUCUGAACACAAACUUAUGCAAAGCUGGGGCAGGGCGUUUUCAUUCGAAUCUAAGGCCAUGUUGCCCACCUCGAGCCCUGUGAGAUGGGAGGCCGAACACGGCACUGAAAGGAGAGCUGCCAGCGUGGACUCGGUGGAGCACAGACACUCUCCUUUGUCUCCUCUUAUCCCAUCUCCUCUUAGUCUACUGAAGAACAAUCCUAUUUUUUCUUCUACUGCCUCUGAUGAACGUAGCAGCCGGCAACAAAUCCACGCCCCCGUCCCCUUCCGGCCGCUUCCGAUCAAGACCAGUCGCCUGCCUAUCCCAUGGUCACUUUCUGAAUCCUCUGACUGGGUAGCAGCAGCCAGCUCUGGUGUUAGUAGUAGAAUAGCGGUUAAUCCAAGCCAGAGCCCAUUUUCAAGCUCAAACAUACUGCGUUUCCCUAAACUGGUCCCACCAAGCAGCGGCCUCCAGUCCCGCAUGCACUGCUCAACACCUGGCGGCCUGCGGCCCUGGUCCCGCAGAAACCUCUCAGAGCAUGCAGAGAGUAGAGAAAAGAAAGUGACAGAACCCGUUGCAGCGCCGCCCCAGUGGAGGGUCUCGGCUGCGCAGUCAGAGAGGAUUUUUGGAGAGAAUUUAAGAGAGGAGGAAGAGGAUGCACCGCUGGACCUGUCUGAUUCAGGACGCUCAAAAAGCCAAGAGAGGGAGAAAACGCACUCACAGAGCGAUGCAUCUUCAUCUUUGUCUUCCUCACCACAUGCUGCACUUUCAUCGUCGUCUCAAUGUCCAUCAAGUCCUCAAAGUGACCAGCAGACUGCAGAUAAUAAUACACAGCAGGAGGAAGCACAAGAAAGAUGUAAGGAACAGGAAGAGGUAAAGGAAGGUGAAACAUCUCCAGCAGCUGAAACAUCUUUCAGCUCAGAGAACAAGAAACUCCCAUCACUAACCAUUUCCCUGCAGCCAGUUGUGGUUAUGGAGCCGCUUAAACCUGGAGGACAGGUCACUGAUACUGGGAACAGACCAAUGGAGCAAGAGGAGAAGGAGAACAACAAUCUUGAAACAAGCAGAAAAAGACCUGGGCAGGAUACUGAUGCUCUAUUCCAGCGCUCGCUAAAGGAGAGGAAAAUACGGCUGAGCAGAGGACCUCAAGGAAACCAUGCAGCCCCAGAUCAAGGAUGAAGGCAUUGGAUUCUACUACAAUCUGGUGACUGUGGUUAUUAAGCCAGUCAUUUUGUUUUCAGCCUUCGUCACCAGCCUCCAAGUCCAAAUCCCUGGUGUUUACUUUAGUUUUCCAGAAAAACCAGAAAAACCAACAAAAAAGAUUUUAACCGCAUCUGUCAACAUAAUUUGCAUGUAUCAAACAGAAUCGGUACUCCAGUGCACACUGCAAUUCUAUUAGAUCUAUUAUUAGUGUGUGCAAACGAUAUAGUUCGUAUAACCUUAAUUUUAAAUAAACAGAAUAUGUUCCUUCAGUGGGUAGAUUUCCCAGCAGUCUUUAGCUGUACUACAACAGGAAGCCAGCUUUUCUUACUGACAGGGGGCUGUCAAUAAACUUAUCAACUAGAUUGAUUUUAUUUUUCGCGGUUUCGCUUUCGUCUUCCUCUUUCUUCAUUUAUACCAUGAGUUAUUAAUAAUGUACAUUAUAAUUGCUUGCUUUCUUGUGUUGUCUCAGUUGUCGUGUCUUCUCUCAGUCUGUGUUCAUUCUCUCUUCCGUGUGAGAGCUGUCACAUCUCAUCUAUUUUUGUCUCUGUCUGAGCACCAUGGCCUGCUUCUUGUAGAUGUGACAAAAUGAAAAAACCUCGGCUUCCCCUUUUGGUUUUUUUUGAGAUGUCAAGCAUAUAUUUUGUAAUAGUGAAUUUUCCACUUGCAGCUGUAAACGCUUUCAGAGUGUAAAGGAGGAAGGUAAAACUGUGAAGAACAAAGUGUACUUUAUUAAACUUUCUGUACCAUUGCAUUAAACUAGUCUUAUACCUUUGCUUUUAUCUGAGGUAAAGCUAAUUUAGAGAUAUUAGCUAUACUAAAAUUCCUAACUUUUUUGUUAAAAAAAUGGACACAUAAAUAAAGGUAUUUUGAUGGCUUACCGAGGUUCCCAUAGGCUUUUUUUUAUCAGUGGCUGUGGUCAUACCUUGCGAAGUAUCAUUCUGUAUAUGGUUUAGGAUGUGGGAAACACUUACAGUGCUGCAGGAAGAGGUAUCAAUCGUUUCACCGUGAAGAACAUGACUGCUUUGCAUCAUUGGAACAAUUUAUAUUUUUCACUUUAGUAUGCCAAUCACCACAACAUUUAGCUUGCUUAAUUUUGUAUACUGAAGGGAGUUUAAAUUACAAAGGAUCCCAUUAAAAACCUGUGGAUUUUCUGUUUCCAAAGUUUCUAAUAUGAAUGUUUUAUUUGUAAUUUGAUCUAUGCACAGUUCUGGCUUUAGUAUUAUAUAUUACAGAAGAGGGAGAUUUAUGUAUUUGCUUGUGUUUUAAUGUCUCUCUUUCUCCGUCUAUUUCACAAGAAGAGUGUGUUUAAUCCCACCAUCUGAUAGGGGAUUAUUAGAAGCUCACUGUUUUUCAGAGUCAUUAUAUAACUGUGAGGCCAGACCAACUGUUUCCAGUCCAAUAAUACAUCUGUGCGUCUCUAUCUCUGGUAGUGUACUAAUAGAUACACACAGAUCUGACAAGCAAACAUGGUCUAAAUCUGCCUUUAUUAUGAUUUUUCCUUUUCUAUUCAUAUAUACAGGCUAUGUAAGUGAUAUAUAGCCUAUAUUUAAAACGCACGCCUCAGAAUUUGAAUGACAUUUUGGCCGAAUGAAGUGCUGAGGGCGUUUUUUUUGUUUGUUUGUCAAAAGUGACAUUGCAAAAGUAUUUUUAACAACUUUUUUGCAACCUACACACACACACACAAAAGUUCUACGAAGUUCUACGAAGACAAUUGCGUGAAUAGGGCAUGCGGAUAUUGAAGCGGAAUAUUUAUGACAGAUUUCCUCUGACUACAGAAUGUGUCGCAAUAUUCACUGAGCUCCCUACCUAGACAGCACUUUAGUUAUAAUCAGCGCUUGAGUCAUUUCCGCCAUCAUAAACUCGAUAUUAGUCGUGUCGGCUCAGUGUGUAUGAAUGAGUUGAGCUGACUCGGAACACGCCUGAUGCCUGUAGCUGUUGUCUACGCAGGCAUCUCAGUAGUAUUUGAAACACGGCCGCCAACUUCCUCUUGAACAGUAGUGAAACUGUCAGUCUCUCUGAGAGAGUGAGGCGCAUCACUGUGAUGGAAUAGCCGGUGUGAAGAGACUUCAAUAUUUUCUCGUCGUUGGAGAAACUUUGUGAAUAAAAAAAAAAACUCUUAGACUGGAUUGCGAUUGAAGAGGAUCCAUCUCCUCAUGUAAAACGAGACUCAAAAACCACACUUUACAGUUACAUUUUACAUUUCUCUAUUGGCUGUCUGCCUGCUGAAGUAAAUAAGCAUGCUGUGUGUUCUGACAGUGUGCACAUACGGUAUGAUUCUGGGAGAGAAAACAAAAAACAAUGAGAGAGCCGUGACAAGGAAGGUGGAACUAACACAUCUCACAUUUGCAUGCGUGUGGUUAAAUGGAAAGAGCUGUAGUUCUGAGUCUUCUCAUGCUCCUGAGGGAAAAGUGGAGGUGGUUCGUCCAAACUCUGGGCCUUUGAGGGACGAAACAAUCUUUCAAUGGAAUGGGCGACACUGUCGAAAGGCAAAUCUGAAAAUUUCCUCAGGGAACGAUCAGUUAUCAAAUCCAGAGUCGGAAGAAGGAAAUGUACUUGUGAUCAAGCCAGCAAUUAAGAGGAGACAAACUGAGUAAAGGCUUGAAGAACUAUCAGCCCUAUUGUGAGAAAGAAGUACACUUUAGCAUACGUUUAGUACAGAAAUAAUAGACUUCAAAAGAAUAGGCCUAUACUUAAAGGGAUAGUUCACCAAAAAAUUAAAAUUGUGUCAUUAUUUACUCACCCUCAAGUUGUUCCAAACCUGUAUGAAGUUCUUUCUUCUGCUGAACACACAAAAGAAGAUACUUUGAAGAAUAUGGGUAACCAAACAGUUGAUGGACCCCACUGACUUCCGUAGUAUGGGAAAAAAAAUACUAUGGAAGUCAAAAAGGCCCAUCUAAAUCUCUUGUGUGUUCAGCAGAAGAAAGAAAUUCAUAGAGGUUUGGAACAAUUGAUGACAGAAUUUUCAUUUUUGGGUGAACUAUCCCUUUAAAGUGUGCUUUUUUUGACCCACUUAAGUAGGACUUAAGUAUGUAAUGGUAAACUAUGUUAGUCAACACACCAAAAUAAGUGUACUUAAAUGUACAUUGAAGUAGAACUUUUUAAAUUUGACAUUAUUACAAAAUGCACUUUUUAAAAGUGUACUUAAAUGUGUUAAGAAGCAUAGUCAUGAAAGUGUCUUUACACUUAAGUGGCCUUUUAUUUCAUUCAUAUUAUAUUAUCCACAAGUACAGUUCUUUAAAAAUAUACUUGUAAAAGAUUUGACGAUACACUACAAGAGUACAUUCAAUAAAAUUAAGCGCCCUUCUUUGUCACAAGAGUCAGCCAGUUAGACUAAAAAAGCAUUUGAAAAAAAAAAAAAAAAAAGUAACAGCUCAGAUAAACAGAAAGCAGAACAUGGGUGAACAAGCUAAGGGAAGCAAGUUCUUAAUGCAUCACAAAUUUCUCAAACUAAUUGCGUCCCCUGAAGGACGCAACUCUACUAGCUGUUCUUGAAUUAGAACUUUAACAUCUCUAUUAUUGUUUCUCUACUAAAUAACAUCUGUACUAUUUACGUCUUCACCCGGGUUACCUACAAGACAAACAGACUGGCUAUUAAUAUGAAAUAUGUUGUUUUGUUUGUGGUUUUUUAUGUGAGGCCAUGUGUGAUCUGAGUAAAGGUGCAAGUUAAUUAUCAAACUGGAAGGAAACAUGAA
Ctenopharyngodon idella (grass carp) is the source of this 5747-nucleotide RNA transcript. It is a transcript of the gene named HCK proto-oncogene, Src family tyrosine kinase, with no coding region annotated. The transcript is spliced from 17 exons. Lineage: Eukaryota; Metazoa; Chordata; Actinopteri; Cypriniformes; Xenocyprididae. The record is from RefSeq and is a predicted model, not a curated record.